RNAcentral lists this ribosomal RNA (497 nucleotides) under uncultured Glomus. RNAcentral describes it as "SSU rRNA". It matches the Rfam family "Eukaryotic small subunit ribosomal RNA", at positions 569 to 1073 of the family's 1831-position model. Lineage: Eukaryota; Fungi; Glomeromycota; Glomeromycetes; Glomerales; Glomeraceae. The record is from RNAcentral.
AGCAGCCGCGGUAAUUCCAGCUCCAAUAGCGUAUAUUAAAGUUGUUGCAGUUAAAAAGCUCGUAGUUGAAUUUCGGGAUCAAUAUGUUGGUCGUGCCUCGGUACGUACUAGCUUAUUGGUUUCUCCUUUCUGAAGAACCAUGAUGUCAUUUAUUUGGUGUCGUGGGGAAUCAGGACUGUUACUUUGAAAAAUUAGAGUGUUUAAAGCAGGCUCACGCUUGAAUACAUUAGCAUGGAAUAAUGAAAUAGGACGUUUGAUUCUAUUUUGUUGGUUUCUAGGAUCGACGUAAUGAUUAAUAGGGAUAGUUGGGGGCAUUAGUAUUCAAUUGUCAGAGGUGAAAUUCUUGGAUUUAUUGAAGACUAACUACUGCGAAAGCAUUUGCCAAGGAUGUUUUCAUUAAUCAAGAACGAAAGUUAGGGGAUCGAAGACGAUCAGAUACCGUCGUAGUCUUAACCAUAAACUAUGCCGACUAGGGAUCGGAUGAUGUUAAUUUUUAA